AAAACAGGCUGACCUCAGUCCCCUAAAUUGUUCCCCUGGUCUUUCUUCCACAGUGCUUGGUAAUCCUUCAUAGCCGACUCCUUUGUUCUUUGCAUCUGGACAGGGCUUCACUUUGUGAGAGUCUCCUAUUUCGAAAUAAGGAGACAGGGUAAAUCCUCCAGUCUUACCAGCUCUCCUGAGGCAGCUCUGGAGUUUCUGGAGACAUCACGUUCCCUGCUUAUUCCUGGAGAAACCUCAAUUCCAGUGUUCAGAGAGGACCUGAGCUUCAGAGAUUCAAGCUGGAAAACGGCUUCGUUCCCUGCUGCCUGGCACGACCUCAGGGGAUAUUUCUAGGAUCUACCUUCCAUGAAGAACACAGACUUACCCCAAUCUCAUGUGGUCUAAAGAUGAAACUUUCCGGGCCUGGGGAUGUGGCUCAAGCGGUAGCGCGCUCGCCUGGCAUGUGUGCGGCCAGGGUUCGAUCCUCAGCACCACAUACAAAAACAAAGAUGUUGUGUCUGCAGAGAACUAAAAAAU
RNAcentral lists this long non-coding RNA (516 nucleotides) under Ictidomys tridecemlineatus (thirteen-lined ground squirrel). RNAcentral's name for it is "lncRNA (ENSSTOG00000031152.1)". The record is from RNAcentral. Lineage: Eukaryota; Metazoa; Chordata; Mammalia; Rodentia; Sciuridae.